AGCUUUGCACAUUGGCAGUAUCGCAGCCAAUGAGAUUUAUCCAAGGCAUGAUUAUUGCUAAUAAAAAGCUUAUAUUAGGAAAAAAUAUCUGUAAUCAAUCAUCUAUG
Molecule: small nuclear RNA, 107 nt
Organism: Homo sapiens (human)
Lineage: Eukaryota; Metazoa; Chordata; Mammalia; Primates; Hominidae
Source: Ensembl